Molecule: long non-coding RNA, 634 nt
Organism: Lingula anatina
Lineage: Eukaryota; Metazoa; Brachiopoda; Lingulata; Lingulida; Lingulidae
Source: RefSeq, a predicted model, not a curated record
AUUUUGCAGAAGUCUUGCAGGAAAUCAUCUUAUCGCCUUAGAGAAGAGUAUAUUUGAUAAACUGCCGCAUUUAGUCACCUUGUAUCUGAAUAAAAACAAUAUUUUCAACAUAAACAAGGAGACAGCAGCUAUACUCACCAAGUUGAUGGCAGUAGACCUCAGCAACAACCCUUAUAAUUGCUCCUGUACUCCAGAAACAAAGUUUAUGAUCAAUUGGAUUCAGAAAGUGAAAGGGCUAAAACCAAAGGGUAUAAACUGGGUAGCUUUUGUCAAUGACCAUGUUACAACAUGCGCGUCUCCAAACUUUUUGAAGGGAAAAAGACUAGAUUCAUUAACCGUGAACGACGUGUGUCCAGAUACCACAUAGAUGAUGAACUAUCUGCCACCGCGUUAAAUUUCGUACGAACGCCUGGAAAUUUAAAUGUAGUGGUGGCAUAAACGUUUUCUGAUAUAAUAUCCAAGAACAAAACUGAUGCAAAUCACUACGAUAAAUUUGAAAAAAACUUUGGUAAAAGUUUUCAUUACGUCGUGUUUUACUAUAAACUCAAUUAUACAAUUAUCUUCUUGUUAUCGAGCAUCCCGGUGAUUGUUUUUACUUGCAUUGUUUAUUGUAAUGAAAUAAAAACAUUAGACC